UCACGUCACUAACUUGACGAUUUAUCAUCUCUACCACAAAGCAAAACAAAACAAAGCUAUAUUUACAUCAAAACUUUGACAAUUGGACGAAAUUUGGGCUUCGAUGUCCUUGCCACGACGCACCCACCCAACCUUGGGUGCCCCAAAAAGGAUGUAGGAGGCACGCCCCAUCUCCGGCAGACCGGAGUCUAUUCCUGGUGGAUUAGGAUCGGCUCAUCUCCCCGCCCAAGAAACACUCAAGGCCGAUCUCAAACCGUCGCCCAGAUGAAAAGCGGUCAAAGCGGCAACAACCGAAGGGAAAUUUUUAGACGCUUAAUACUACAAGUGUCAGGCAAAAAAAUCGCCGCACGGCACUAAAUUGGAGGCGUUUGCCAACCGGGUCGCCUAAUCCUGAGGAGCUCCAAGGGAAAAGAAAGGACGUGCUGAAAUUGUAAUAGGUAGUUGGACGCGCGGCCAGGGUCGGAAUUAAGUCUCUAAUUUUAGAUUAGAUUUCACAAGUUCCUCGUCGGAUGUGGUUGAAACUGCAGCCAGAAUGGAAAAAUCGCUAGCGGCGAAAACCAGCGCGAGUCCGCACGGAGCCAAUUGGUCCGGAGGAUAGCGCAGCGUCCGCGUAAGAGGGGCCGGAGGCAGUGCGUCGGUGUACUUGGAGAUGACCACGUGGCCAGCGCGGGCAUUCGUUCCCGGAACGGACUCACUGAGGGAAUCUCCGUAUCUGGCCGUCUCGGAGGCAGUCGCUGUAGCUGCUGGCGCUGGAGGCUGCUGCUGCUGCGGCUGAUGCUGCUGCGGCUGAUGCUGCUGCGGCCAAUGCUGCUGCGGCUGAUGCUGCUGCGGCUGAUGCUGCUGCGCCUGAUGCUGCGGCGGCUAAUGCUGCGGCGGCUAAUGCUGCGGCGGCUAAUGCUGCGGCGGCUGGUGGACGACGACCAGGUUAGCUCCGCCUGCAACUAAAGCAAAACCCUGACCUACACCAAAGUCGUUCGCCAUUUUCCCUCCCGCUCUCUCAAGAUGGGUCAGCGAACGUAUUCAAGGCUAUUUAACCCAGUUAACGAGCGAACCGGGCUAAAUUUAAAUAGCUAAAUCCUCUCCCGCUAUCAAUAACGGCUUCAACUGAAAAUGCAACA
Molecule: long non-coding RNA, 1118 nt
Organism: Drosophila gunungcola (fruit fly)
Lineage: Eukaryota; Metazoa; Arthropoda; Insecta; Diptera; Drosophilidae
Exons: 5
Source: RefSeq, a predicted model, not a curated record